UCAUGAUCAAAUAGACUUCAUCAACCAUCAUUAACAAAGGCAUGAAAAAGUUAAUAAAAUAGGUCAAAAUAAAAUAAAUAAAAUGCGAAAUAAAAUAAAUAGUUGAAAAAUAUUCAAGUUAUGCUCACAAAAUAUUUUGAUUAAAAAUAAAAUAAGUGAUGAAAAAAAUGAAAAGAAAAUGAAAGAAAAUAGGUUAAAAAAUAAGAAAGUAAGCAAAAGAAAGGAAAAAGGAAAAGAGAGAAAAAUAGAAUGAGGGUGUUGGGGG
This 265-nucleotide long non-coding RNA is filed under the name Lathyrus oleraceus (garden pea). RNAcentral's name for it is "Pisum sativum (pea) long non-coding RNA (PSAT_LNC010130)". The record is from RNAcentral. Lineage: Eukaryota; Viridiplantae; Streptophyta; Magnoliopsida; Fabales; Fabaceae.